UACAGAGGGUGCGAGCGUUAAUCGGAGUUACUGGGCGUAAAGGGCGCGUAGGCGGUUAUAUAAGUGAGAUGUGAAAUCCCUGGGCUUAACCUAGGAACUGCAUCUCAUACUGUAUGACUGGAGUAUUGUAGAGGGUAGUGGAAUUUCCGGUGUAGCGGUGAAAUGCGUAGAGAUCGGAAGGAACACCAGUGGCGAAGGCGGCUACCUGGACAAAUACUGACGCUGAGGCGCGAAGAGCGUGGGGAGCAAACAGG
Molecule: ribosomal RNA, 254 nt
Filed under: uncultured bacterium
Lineage: Bacteria
Description: partial 16S ribosomal RNA
Rfam family: Bacterial small subunit ribosomal RNA
Source: RNAcentral